GAAAGAAUUCAUUUACGUGGUUUGGUCCAAGACCAAGGGUGAACAUUACGGACCCUGAAAAAAUAAGAGAAAUACUUAACAAAUUUAAUGACUUCCAGAAGGUACGUACCAAUCCACUGCUUAAUUUGCUUGUAAGCGGCCUUGCUAACCUCGAAGGAGACCGAUGGAGCAAGCGUAGAAAAAUCAUAAACCCUGCAUUUCAUCAAGAUAAGUUGAAGGUAUAGAAUAGUGAUGGGUACUCAAGACUUUACAGAAAACAUCAUACUUAAACCUGAGCUUUUCUGAUUUAGAAAUAAUUGGAUGCAGAAUAUGUUGCCAGCAUUUUAUCAAAGUUGUAGUGACAUGUUAAGAAAAUGGGAGAAGAUGGUGUGUACAGAAGGAUACAGUGAGUUAGAUGUGUGGCCUUAUCUCGUAGAUUUGACAAGAGAUGUGAUUUCCCGAUCUGCUUUUGGAAGCAGCUUCGAAGAAGGCAAACGAAUUUUCCAAUUACUAGAGGACCAACUCGUUCUCACAAUCAAAUUAAUACAAACUGUUUACAUUCCAUGAUGGAGGUAACCCUCAACUUAAUUUACUUGAAAAAGGUUGCAAAUGUUGGAAUUCGCUAAAUUCGUGUUUGUUUUCUUGAAGGUUUUUGCCAACAAAGACAAACAGGGAGAUGAAGAUGAAACACAGAGACAUAAAAGAGUCGCUUAGGGAAAUGAUAAAGAGAAGAGAGAAGGCAAUUAAAGCAGGGGAAGAGAGCAAUGAGGACUUGUUGGACAUACUUGUGGAAUCCAAUAUCAGAGAAAUGGAAGCAAAGAAUAUGGGGAUGAGCAUUGAGGAUGUGAUUGAGGAAUGCAAGCUGUUUUACUUUGCUGGCCAAGAGACCACUUCGGUCUUACUGGUGUGGACUAUGGUUUUAUUAGCAAGGUAUCCCGAUUGGCAAAGUAAAGCAAGAGAGGAGGUUUUGCAUGUUUUGGGUGACAGUAAACCUGAUGCUGAUGGCCUUAAUCGUCUCAAAGUUGUAAGUCCCUAGCAUGUCUUUUGAAGGUCCGAUCAAUGAGGUCGACAACUCAAAAACUUGGUUUUUUUUGUUUCGCUAAUUCUACAGGUAACAAUGAUAUUGUACGAGGUUCUAAGGUUGUACCCACCAGUGGUUGAGCUAGGACGUUCCGUUCCAAAAGAAAUAAAACUGGGGAAUUUGUUGUUACCAGCAGGAGCAGAAGUUUCGGUUCCGAUCCUGCAGAUCCACCAUGACAAAGAUCUUUGGGGUGACGACGCACGGGAAUUUAAGCCAGAGCGGUUGGCGGAAGGGGUUUCCAAAGCAACAAAGAGUCAAGUCACGUUUCUGCCAUUCGGAUGGGGUCCUAGGAUCUGUAUUGGCCAAAAUUUUGCCAUGAUGGAAGCCAAAAUGGCGAUGGCUAUGAUUCUCCAACGCUUCUGGUUCGAGCUUUCCCCUUCCUAUGCUCACUCUCCUUACAGCAGGGCAACUCUUCGUCCACAGCAUGGUGCACAGAUAGUUUUACAUAAACUUGGCUCUAAUUGAAUUGUUAUGUAAACAGAUCUUUUUGAAAAUAUAGCGUUUUAGUGUAUCGUCAAAGUCCGGUGUCUGUAAUGGUACAAUUCCGAUGCAUGAAUAGUAAAUUUUAAGAUGUUUGGUUAAGUCCGAAAUAAUAUGCAGAAAUUGAGUGUCUUGAAUGGAUGUAGUAUUUAAUGGUGGACAUAGUUGAGGGAUUAAUGUGGUAAUUAUCGAACAAAUAAUUGCAUAUGGUACAAAGACUUAUAUGGAAAUUAGAGCGGGGGGAGUAGAAAAUGACUACUUUGCUUUGGGCAUCAAUUUAGAAAGAUUUAAAGUACAAAUGUAUUAUUAGUUUAAAGGAUUUGUUUUAAAGAAGGAAUGACAAUUAAACCUCAUGGUUGAUUUGUGGAAGGGAACCGAUGAUGGGAUGAUUAUUCUUAGUGGUAAAAAAAAAACUAUUAAGGAGGUUAUUAUACUUGUUAUCAAUUUCUCAAAAUUUGAAUGGGUUUAAGUCAGAUUAUAUCGAGCUUGUUAGAUGAGUUCACGGACCAAGCUUGCAUGAUAAUGGCUGCUUACAGAAAUGUAUCUAUAGUUUUCUACAAAGUCAUAUGUGAAAUUAUGCAUUGGUACCGCAUAAACAUGUUUUAUGUCUAGAAUAUUAUACGUGUCUAUGUGCAUGGAAUCUACCUAGUAUAUCAUAUCAAUGAACAGUAUCAAUGGUGGACCUCAAAAGUAUUUUUGGGGGAUCAGAAUUAAACUGUAUGUUUUUAUGAAAGUAAAAAUUUAAUUUCACUAUUUUAUAGUCAAUUUCUUUUUAAUUUUUGAAGGAUUAAAUCAAAUUUUUAUAAAUUUUUAGGAGGUUGAAGUACAAUUUUAUCAUUACUAAUUUAAAAUUUUAUAAAUUAUAAAAAAUAUAAAUAAAAAAUUUUAUAUUUUAGGAUAGCCAAGGCUCCUGCCAACUCUAACUCACUGAAUAGUAUAAAUAAAUAAAUACCAUCAUCUAAAAUAUGGGUAAGUGUCCAAAAUAUGAUUUUGGUGAAAAUAUGUAGGGUUGGUCUCAUGGAAGUGUAAAGACAAGAACCCCGCUAAUGUAUGGGAUGUGUAAAGUUGAAUCUAGGGAGCAAAUAGGAGUGAAUCAUUUUGGUAACAUUUGGACAAGAAACAUAAUGAACAAAAUGAAAGGAGAGGAAGCUAGUAAAAGAUUUUUUUGGGUCAUAUAAUUUGUUUGGCAUAUAUUUUUAUAAUUUUUAAAUAUCAUUUUGGAGUUGAAUUAUAACUUUUUUUUAUAUAUUAUCUUAAAAUUUUAUAAAAUUUAAGGAGUUAAAACGUAAUUAUUCCAUGGGUCAGAGCUGCCCUCGCUUUGCAUUUCUUUGAGAUUCAGCCUUAUCUCAAUUGAGGGUUGAGUAGAAAGAUUUGGUGGAGCAAGCAAAGCUAUCAAUCAAGGUUGGAGAAAGCUUAGGAGGUCACAAUGCAUAAUUAUUUAAAUGUAAUUCUAAUAUUUAAAUAAAAUUUAUUAAUAUAAUAUCAGCAAGUGUUAAAUAUAAUGAUCAGAUACCAUUAUAUUUUUAGAAAGAGAAAAUAUGUUUAAACCUUAAAAACGGCGUUACUAAAAAUAAUAAUCACAAAUCUUGAAAUAUAAAAAAUAAAUUUUUUAAUAUAAUUAAAAUUUAAUUUGAAAGCCGAGCUGGAUAAAAUUCUAAUUUUAGAUAAUGGUACCAACAACAAAUCAAUAUUUAAAUUAAAAUUAAUCUAAAUUUAAUAUAAUCAAAUUGGACUCUAAUAUUAAAUUUAAUAUAAUCAAGGUUCAUGAACUUUAUACCCUAUGCUUUACGUAAUUGAAAAAAAAAUCAUUGGACAUAAAAGUCUACGAAAAGUUUCACUAUAUUAAUAAAUAAAUAAAUAAAAAAUAUUGCUACAAGAUUACAACACAAAGUUACAAUAAGAGCUUAUAACUUAACAAAGGCUAUCAAUAAAUAAUCUCAAACAAACUAAAGAGAAAUAUUGAGAGUCCCACCAAAUAGUGAUUGCCUUUAAAAGUUAAAAACUCGAAGUUAUAGUAUCUCAAAUGAAAUUAAACCAUGAACAUUAAAUUUUUCGAGUCUACUAGCUACUGUAAAAAAUUGAGCUCCAACGGACAACAAAUGAACCUUUGAUCGAAGAAAAUACGAAAAUUAGUCUCGGUAAAUCAAGCUGCCAAACUUACUUUUUAUCUUAUCUUUAAUUUGUAAUAAAAUUCAAAAUUAAGGUUUUGUUUGUUUCACUUAGAACAACUUUCAAAAAAUUAAUUUUGGAAAAUGGAUUGAUUUUUCGAAAUAGAUGAUAUUUUAUUGUGUAAAAAUUUUAUUUGUUGUUUGAUGAACUUUUUUUUAAAUCAUUUUUUUAGAAUUAUUUUUAGUGAAACAAAUAUAUCAUAAAUAUAUUUGUUACAAAAUAUUAUAUUAGUAUUUUCUUUUGACAAUUAAAGUUUAUUUUAUGAUAAGACAAUAUUUUAUAAUAAUUAAUAUCAUAUAUACUUAAUAAUAAAUCAUGUCUAAUUAAAAUUUAAGUUAAAUUAAAUAUAUUAAUAAAGCUACAUAUAAUCAUAUUUUAUAUAAUUAAAAUAUUAAUAUAAAUAUUUUUCAAUAAGAUAUUAAAGAAUAUUUAAAAUUUAAAUUUAUUAUUACUAAAAUUAAUUAUUAAAAUAAAAAUGUAAUAUUAAAUAAUUUAUCUAAUGAUAAGUUAUAUUAAUAAUUUAUUAUAUCAUUAAAUAAAAAUAAUUAAAUAUGUAUGUUUAAUAAUAUUAUGUUAUAAUAUUCAUUAUUAAUAUCUUAAUAUUCUUAAACAGCCGUGUCUCAAAGAUGGUUGUGAUGGUGAUGUGAUGAUGCAGCCCCCCUUCUUACAAUUACAAUAAUUUUUAGUGCAAUAAUUAAAGUUGCUGAGUGGUAAAGUAAACUUCUUUUGACUGAGAUGCAUGUAAUAUAUGGAUGUUGAGGUUUUAGACUGCGCCAUCUUUAAAGGGGUUAAAUUAUAUAUUUAUAUAAUAUGAUUAUUGUUUAUGAAUAUAAUAUUAUAGAUAAGUUUUUAUACAUAUUAAUAUGUAUUUUAUUUUAAUGUUAAUAUGUAGUUUUUUAGAUGUGGAUUCACCUAUAUAAUGAUAUGAACUCAUUAUGCAGUCUCAUGAAAUAUGCAAACACAUAUAGUGUAAAUAUAAAGUAUGAACCACCAAAAGUACAGAUCAACACCUAAUUGAAUAAUUGGAUAACAGAUAGGUAAUAAUAAAUAUCAUUCACUAUCCCCUCUUGUUUUAAUUUAUUUUAUUUCCAGUGAGUUAUUUUUUUUAUGAUAAAUUUGCAACAAAUGUUUUUAUCAUUAUUUUGUUGGUAAAUGAUAAUAAGAUUAAAUUUACUUUCGUAAGCUCCUUCAAUUCUUUGGAGUUAGUGGUUUUUUAUUCUGAUCUUUUUUUCUUAUUAAAUUUUUUAUAAUAAAUGUGUUUAUAGAUGAGGUUAGAUUAUAAUUGAAUUAUUUUAUAGCAUUAACAUAAUUUAGAUGGAUUAAAAUUUAUUCUACUAAAAAUAUAAAUUUAAAAUUUUACUUCAAUUUAUCUUAAUUUAUAAAUGAUGAAUUUAAAUUUACUUUUUCCCCAUUAUAUUCAAUUUUCCACAUAAUAUUUGGCCUAGAACAAAAACUAGAACAAUAAAACAAAUAUAAACUAUGCUACAAAGAGUAUACAGCUACAGAAAGCUGAAAUGUUUUCCAAAAAUUAUAUUGUUAACUUUUAAAAAAAAUAUUUUAGCUAUUUAUCAUCAUGAAGAAAAAAGAUACAGUCAUGCACCUGGCCUCAUGCUUCAACACCUCAACCUAGAUUCUCAUCACCUGUAUUUAUCAUCGAUUCAGAUCUUUAUUUUUACUAUAUUCUAGAUCUCCCUAUAAAUAUAUCUUCAAACUUCCUUUGGUUAAGUUCAUUCAUAGAUGGGUGAGUAAACUUGAGCUUCAGCUUUCCACAAACACCUUAAUUUGAAGACACUGUUCUCUCAUGCUAAAAACCACAUGGACGUUUACCAUGUAAUUAGAGAGUUGGUUUCAUUGCUUGUUGUUGGGUUAUUAAUGAUAUGGGGAUGGAGAGCUUUAAACUGGGUAUGGCUGGCUCCAAAGAGGCUCGAAAGGUGCUUGAGACAACAGGGUUUAGCAGGGAAUUCUUACAGGUUCCUUUCUGGUGACAUAAAAGAGCUCUUCACUAUGAGCAGACAAACAAGAGCCAAACCUAUGCCUCUUAGUGAUGAUAUUGGGCCUUAUGUUGUUCCUUUUCAACAUCAAACUGUCAACCAGUAUGGUAUGUUUUUUUGUUUAAUCUGCAAUUUAUGAUAAUUCUUUUUUAUUUAUGUAUGGAAUUUAUUGGGAGGAAAUGCAGGAAAGAAUUCAUUUACGUGGUUUGGUCCAAGACCAAGGGUGAACAUUACGGACCCUGAAAAAAUAAAAGAAAUACUUAACAAAUUUAAUGACUUCCAGAAGGUACGUACCAAUCCACUUGUUCAUUUGCUUGUAAGCGGCCUUGUUAACCUCGAAGGAGACCGAUGGAGCAAGCAUAGAAAAAUCAUAAACCCUGCAUUUCAUCAAGAUAAGUUGAAGGUAUAGAAUAGUGAUGGGUACUCAGACUUUAAAGAAAACAUCAUACUUAAACCUAUGCUUUUCUGACUUAGAAAAUAAUUGGAUGCAGAAUAUGUUGCCAGCAUUUUAUCAAAGUUGUAGUGACAUGUCAAGCAAAUGGGAGAAGAUGGUGUGUACAGAAGGAUACUGUGAGUUAGAUGUGUGGCCUUAUCUCGUAGAUUUGACAAGAGAUGUGAUUUCCCGAUCUGCUUUUGGAAGCAGCUUCGAAGAAGGCAAACGAAUUUUCCAAUUACCAGAGGACCAACUCGUUCUCACAAUCAAAUUAAUACAAACUGUUUACAUUCCAGGAUGGAGGUAACCCUCAACUUAAUUUACUUGAAAAAGGUUGCAAAUGUUGGAAUUCGCUAAAAGCGUGUUUGUUUUCUUGAAGGUUUUUGCCAACAAAGACAAACGGGGAGAUGAAGAUGAAAUACAAAGACAUAAAAGAGUCGCUUAGGGAAAUGAUAAAGAGAAGAGAGAAGGCAAUUAAAGCAAGGGAAGAGAGCAAUGAGGACUUGUUGGACAUACUUGUGGAAUCCAAUAUCAGAGAAAUGGAAGCAAAGAAUAUGGGGAUGAGCAUUGAGGAUGUGAUUGAGGAAUGCAAGCUGUUUUACUUUGCUGGCCAAGGGACCACUUCGGUCUUGCUGGUGUGGACUAUGGUUUUAUUAGCAAGGCAUCCCGAUUGGCAAAGUAAAGCAAGAGACGAGGUUUUGCAUGUUUUGGGUGACAGUAAACCUGAUGCUGAUGGCCUUAAUCGUCUCAAAGUUGUAAGUCCCUAGCAUGUCUUUUGAAGGUCCGAUCAAUGAGGUCGACAACUCAAAAACUUGGUUUCUUUGUUUCGCUAAUUCUACAGGUAACAAUGAUAUUGUACGAGGUUCUAAGGUUGUACCCACCAGUGGUUGAGCUAGGACGUUCCGUUCCAAAAGAAAUAAAACUGGGAAAUUUGUUGUUACCAGCAGGAACAGACGUUUUGGUUCCAAUCCUGCAGAUCCACCAUGACAAAGAUCUUUGGGGCGACGACGCACGGGAAUUUAAGCCAGAGCGGUUCACGGAAGGAGUU
This 7181-nucleotide long non-coding RNA is filed under the name Gossypium barbadense (sea-island cotton). RNAcentral describes it as "long non-coding RNA (GBAR_LNC000076)". Lineage: Eukaryota; Viridiplantae; Streptophyta; Magnoliopsida; Malvales; Malvaceae. The record is from RNAcentral.